This 84-nucleotide transfer RNA is filed under the name Buchnera aphidicola (Hormaphis cornu). Its description in RNAcentral is "tRNA-Ser". It matches the Rfam family "tRNA". Rfam says of the family: Transfer RNA (tRNA) molecules are approximately 80 nucleotides in length. Their secondary structure includes four short double-helical elements and three loops (D, anti-codon, and T loops). Lineage: Bacteria; Pseudomonadati; Pseudomonadota; Gammaproteobacteria; Enterobacterales; Erwiniaceae. The record is from RNAcentral.
GGUGAGGUGUCCGAGUGGCUGAAGGAACACACCUGGAAAGUGUGAAUACAAAACGUAUCAAGGGUUCGAAUCCCUUCCUCACCA